CAUAACAAUACUCAAUUAAACUUGAAAAAUACAAUGAGUUAGCCUUCCUAUUUAUAGGCUAGUUUGGGACGUAAAUGAUAAGCUACAUUACAAGGAAAAGAAAACCAAAAUUAAAUCUAAAUUCUAGGGUGCAAUGGCCGGUCAUACACAACCCUAGUUUCUAGAAGGUUUCCAUCUAAAAUGCUUCCUACACUAUCCUAUCUACUCAGUACCCCCAAUGGGCCUUUAUGCAAACAUAUACAAAGCCUUUUCUCUUCCA
Molecule: long non-coding RNA, 259 nt
Filed under: Phaseolus vulgaris (common bean)
Lineage: Eukaryota; Viridiplantae; Streptophyta; Magnoliopsida; Fabales; Fabaceae
Description: long non-coding RNA (PVUL_LNC000961)
Source: RNAcentral